GAACGUCCAAUGCGGUCGCCGUGGCGUGCGCUGCCCCAUUUUUUAUGGAGCAUGUGUCGUCCGUGAUCCCGUCAACCUCUGCGACCGUGGGAGCUUACGUGGCCGCGGUGGAGACGUGCAAGACACAGAGUAAACAAAGUGGCCCCGAGUGGUAAACAAGCGUGGCUAACCACGAAGCAAAGCAAGCAUCCAAUCAAAUAUCAACCAAUCCGGGGGCAAAGCUGGAAAACGGAGACUUCUUGUGGGGGCGGGGACAAGAUGCGGAGCUCGGCCGGAACGCAGUGGGCUGCAAGACCUUGAUCUGGUGGGGGGCAGGGAGAGGAAGGUGGCCCCUUGGGUGCAUUGGGAAAAACCUUAGCUUUGCAGUCGGAACAUCCGAGUACCGGACAGCAGCAGCUGUGAGCCUGGGAAAAUUACCAAAUUUAUAGCCUCGUUUGAUGGUCUGUAAAGUGGGCAAGGUAUUUGGCAAUGCCUGCCUCGGUAUCCGGAGCAAAAUGCUUUCAAACCAGACGCCCAGAGGGUUUCUUCCUAGCACUUUUGGUUGGUGCAUCCCUUCCCACACAACUGGGAUUAGUGGUAGGCAGCUGCUGGGGUGCCUUUUGGGAGUGAUGCACGAUAGGGAUAAUUGUUCAUGGUUUUACAAAGCACAUUUUUGAAUUCCAGAAACCCCAUCCCCUUGUAUCAAAAUGAAUGCUCAAGGCCUUCAGGUGGAUGAUUCGGGGGAGAACAAACUCGGGGUGAACGAUUUACCUUGGUAUCUGAACUGAAAUUAAAUUUUCAGUCACAGGCCUUGGAAACUCCUCCAAGUUGAUGGCCCCAAUUACCACCACCAUCAACAGAGUUAAAGACAAAACCUGAAGAGAGAUUCAGGGCUGGCAAGCUAAUCUACCUGAGGAAGCAGUGUAUCCUGAGAGAGGAGGCAGACUGUAUGAAACCACCACCAUUUUGAUCUUCAUCACCCAACAUCUCUAAUGGAGACAGGACAUUGACAAAGUGGACUAUGUCUACAAGAGGAUACUCUGGUGAAAAGACUCAAAACCACAACGUACAAGGAUCACUUGAAAAAAUUGGGAGCUAUUUGGCUUGAAGAGAAGUCUACAGGGGAAUGUUACAGUUGUCUUUUAAGUUUUUGAAGAACUGCCAUAUGGAAGAGAAAUUAGACUUGUUUCUGCUUAGAUCCAGAGAGAGUUGACCAAAGGACAAAAACGAGAGACAAAUUUUGGUUC
Molecule: long non-coding RNA, 1226 nt
Filed under: Sarcophilus harrisii (Tasmanian devil)
Lineage: Eukaryota; Metazoa; Chordata; Mammalia; Dasyuromorphia; Dasyuridae
Description: lncRNA (ENSSHAG00000027835.1)
Source: RNAcentral